Molecule: ribosomal RNA, 253 nt
Filed under: uncultured prokaryote
Description: partial 16S ribosomal RNA
Rfam family: Bacterial small subunit ribosomal RNA
Source: RNAcentral
UACAGAGGUGGCAAGCGUUGUUCGGAAUCAUUGGGCGUAAAGGGCGCGUAGGUGGUUUUGUGUGUCUACCGUGAAAGCGUACGGCUCAACCGUAUUUUGUCGGUAGAAACUGCAGGACUUGAGGCUGGGAGGGGCUGGUGGAAUUCCCUGUGUAGCGGUGAAAUGCGUUGAUAUCAUCAGGAACACCAGUGGCGAAAGCGGCUCACUGGGUCUUUCCUAACGCUGAGGCACGAAAGCUAGGGGAGCGAACGGG